CGAACUUCGGGAGGAAGUUGAACGGAACUGUCCGUAGUCACAAAUAGAGCCCCCGAAGUAGGAGUCUCCUCAGGAAUGGAUGUCAAAAUAAUAGUAGGAGGAGGAGUCCUAACAACGGAGGGAGGGGUUCCUCCAGUAUCUACAUCCUCCGAGGAAGAAGAGUAGUAGGAAGAAGAACCCGAGCUUCCCGAGGUAGAUGUGGAAGACCCCGAACUGGAACGUACGGGGGGAGAAGGGGGAGCACCUACAAACAAAAAAGAAAGAAAUAAAGAGUAAGUUACGAAAUAAAUAAGAAAUAAGUAACUUACUAGGAGGUACGGGCUUGCGCGUACGACGGGAAAGAAUCUUUUUCUUACUUCCAAUAGGCACG
This 370-nucleotide long non-coding RNA is filed under the name Zostera marina. Its description in RNAcentral is "long non-coding RNA (ZMAR_LNC000223)". The record is from RNAcentral. Lineage: Eukaryota; Viridiplantae; Streptophyta; Magnoliopsida; Alismatales; Zosteraceae.